This 1844-nucleotide long non-coding RNA is filed under the name Lathyrus oleraceus (garden pea). Its description in RNAcentral is "Pisum sativum (pea) long non-coding RNA (PSAT_LNC032241)". The record is from RNAcentral. Lineage: Eukaryota; Viridiplantae; Streptophyta; Magnoliopsida; Fabales; Fabaceae.
CAUUUGCAUGCAGGUGGAUAAUAGAUACAAACUUUGUUUGAAAUCCUAAUUCUUGAUAAAAGCCAAUGACUGUAAUGUUGGAGAACUGGGUCCUGUUUGUCGCACCUCAAAAAAAAUGAGAACACGACUUAGCAAAGAGAAGUCGCACGCUCGCAAUUAUGGAAUGAACAGAGUCGCCACCGAACUUUAUUUAUUCCUAAAAAGUAAAGGGAAAAUAUUGAUAAAGUCCAAAAAAGAACGACAAUGAUACUGGUCGUCGCAACCAAAUCAGGGUUCGGGAGUCGAUUAUGCAACGGGAAGGUAUUAACACCCCUCACGUCCAUUUUACUCAAUGGGAACCAUUAGGUUAAUUGUUUGCGUUAGUGUUAGUUUAUAAAUGUUAGGCUUCUCGAGUUAUUAAGGGAAAAAGAAGAAUAUGACUAAGAGAAAAGAGGAAAUAUUUUUGGAUUUUUGGCAACGAAGAGGACUAAACCUAAGUUUUUUUAUUAAUGGGACUGACAAGAUUUAUAAAUCCUACUCUUACGUAUUUCCGGGUGCAAUAGAGAACUCAAGGCUUACGUAGUUAUGGAUAGAAAAUGUUUGUUUGUUGGUCGAUUUUAGUGAAAACUACUUUGUGUCAAUCGACAAAAAUAUUGUUGGACUAUCCAAAACAGGUGGAGAAAGAGACGUUUGCAUCACAAACGAAUGGAUUUACAAAUCAACAUUCGUGGGCAACAUCGCAAGUUUACUCACACGUUCAAGCGAACGAAACAUUGUUUUGCAUCGUCAAUACAAAAUACCUUUCAUUUAUAAAAAGGAUUUAAGGAUCAAUCACAUAACAUCGAGACCUAAUUGAUUCCAAUGUGUUUUAGUUUAGGGACCUAAUUGAUAUAGAAAGCCAAAAAUGAAAUAUUCCCUUACUUGAAAGGACUUUCAACCAACAUGACAUAGAUAGAAUUCUCCAAAUCCAUUUUGGUAAUAUAGAGGAGGAUGUUGUUAUUAUGUUAACGGGUGAUAGUAAGGGGAAUCAUUCUGUCAAGACAUGGUCUCAUUGGUUCCAAAAUAUGGAGAAUAUGAACAAAAAUGAAAUUUCAAAUUAUAUUGAGCAAAGAUUUUGGAAGAAAUUCUAGAAAAUUAAAUGUCAACCAAAAAUCCAAGGUCUGAAUUCUUAACUUAACUAUUCCAGACAUAAGUGAUUUAGAUGAAAGAGGUGUUAGAUAUCCUAUAUUAUGUCUUAUAUGUCUCAAGCAUGAGGAGACUAUUGAUCACGUAUUAAAGGAAUUUUAUUGGAUUGCAAAAUUAUGUUUUGGAUUUGCGAGAACCUCAAGAGGGGAUGAUAUAAUGGUUAUGGGAUACUAUAAACAACAAAGAAAUGACAACCAACAACAUAUUAUAUUGCGUUUGGUGGGCUAGAAACAAAUACAUUUUUGAAGAAAAAGAGAUAACCAUAGAGAAAACUAAUAUAUAUAUAUAUAUAUAGUAUAUAUAUUAUUAUAUAUAUAUAUUGAUAUAUAUUAUAUAUAUAUAUAUAUAUAUAUAUAUAUAUUAAUCAUAUCAAUAUAGAUGAUGAGAUCGACCAAAGAAGUAAGGAUAUAGCCCAAUAUCAUGAAACAAUAGUUAUAUAAAUAAUCAUACUCAGUGUAGCUAUAAUCAGACCUCUAAAGACAAAAACAAGACUAAAAGCAAUCAUAAUGAGCACUCUAGGCAGGAAAAUAAUCAUACCAACCAUAAUCACACUCCUCAAUGGGACACGAUAAAUAAAAAAUACAAUCAUCAUCACAAGCAUGUGAAAGAGAAGGACAAUAAUCAGAAACGUAUGACAAAAGAGAAUAGAAAGGAAGACAUCAACCUGAAGAAAAAUUUAU